RNAcentral lists this unclassified non-coding RNA (758 nucleotides) under Hevea brasiliensis (rubber tree). Lineage: Eukaryota; Viridiplantae; Streptophyta; Magnoliopsida; Malpighiales; Euphorbiaceae. The record is from RNAcentral.
GUGGGUCUCUCCCUCCCCACCUCUGGGUAAGACCCACUCUCCGGGUGAGGAUGUAAAUAGUAUUUAACUUGCAGAUUGGAGAGAAUAGGAGAGGGAUUUCUUAUGGAUCUGCUGAGUUUUCGCUCGAUUGAGUUGGCUGCCUAGCUUGUGUCUAACGCGUUUCUGCAGGCUUCAGGCUUUCGAUGGACACAACAAAAGGAGACUUUGCUGCGCUGAAAGGGAGACAAUACUCCUGAAGGUUGAAAGUGUCAACCGAGUGAGAGUCGUCACCCUCCAACUAAAGAGAUUAAGGGGCCAAACAGGGCUCUGCCUCCUCCCUGCUUUCCUUUCUGUUGUGUCUUCCUUGAUAGUGCAUGAUUUUUUGGACUUCAUGGGCUAUGAUGCUCUGAGUUGCUGGUUUUUUUUUUUCCUAGCUAUGACUCAAUGCUGGAUGUUGUUUUGGUGAUGUUUGUUCCUCUACUUGGCCUUAGUUAUCUUGGUAUGGCCAUUCGUUUGAAGGAUCUCCAUGGCUCAGAUGCUUGGGUGCAGUGGCGCUGAUAGAUGGUUGCUCUGGUUCCUCUAUUCCGGUUUCGCUAUAGGGCUGGUGCCCCAGGCUAGAGUUCUCCUAGAUAUAUGCUCUUUGGGGUGGGCUUGAGCCUUUGAUACGCAUGGGCUUGGAUCAUUUUUGUUGUAGCUAGGUCUUUUGUCCAUGGCUAUAUACUCUUCGGUCUUUUAAGGCCUUCUAGUGGAAAUUCUAUCCUUCGAUUAAAAAAAAAAAG